UCAAUUACCGUAAACAUUGAGAUCGGCGGCACAAUGAUUAACAAAAUCAUUGUGCCGAUCUCAAUGUUUAAGGUAAUUGAAAUGAUUUUA
Molecule: microRNA precursor, 90 nt
Filed under: Strigamia maritima
Lineage: Eukaryota; Metazoa; Arthropoda; Chilopoda; Geophilomorpha; Linotaeniidae
Description: microRNA mir-210
Source: RNAcentral